Transfer RNA from Sistotremastrum suecicum HHB10207 ss-3, 109 nucleotides. It matches the Rfam family "tRNA". From Rfam's summary of the family: Transfer RNA (tRNA) molecules are approximately 80 nucleotides in length. Their secondary structure includes four short double-helical elements and three loops (D, anti-codon, and T loops). Lineage: Eukaryota; Fungi; Basidiomycota; Agaricomycetes; Sistotremastrales; Sistotremastraceae. The record is from Rfam.
GGGCACGUGGCGCAGCUGGUAGCGCGCAUGCUUAGCAGUAGGCAAGAUGGGACUUGAACCCACGCUUACGUAAUGCAUGAGGUCUUGGGUUCAAGUCCCAACUUGUCCA